Rana temporaria (common frog) is the source of this 884-nucleotide long non-coding RNA. RefSeq lists it as uncharacterized. The record is from RefSeq and is a predicted model, not a curated record. The transcript has 3 exons. NCBI's taxonomy places the organism in Eukaryota, Metazoa, Chordata, Amphibia, Anura, Ranidae.
AGAUAAUAUUCACAAGAUAGAAAAGUCUAAUCCACCAUUGAAAUGGAGAGUGAUCCCAGAUCUCCUGCGGAAAGAGCAGCAAGCUACAGCUUAUUGAGUGAAGAGGAAAGAUGAAAUAUUCUUAGAAAUCAGCUAUUAUCAAGGUAUCCACCACGAGAAAACGAUCCGGCAUUCCCAAUCAACCCGACCAUUGGCUCUUCUACCAGGAGUGAUUCCUCCCAAUCACAAGUGACUGAGGAUGACAGAAUCGGAACCAAAACUUGGUGUUUAUGUCAGAAUUGCAUAGAAAUGCCCACAAACGUUGAAGCCGUUUGCUGCCAAGAAAUUGAUGAUGUCAAAGGAUAUAUACCACAAGGAAAAAAUUGCAUAACAGAAUCAGAAAUUUUCAAUACUGUAGUAGCUUCAGAUCGACUCAUAAGAAUAAUAAAUAAUAUUGUAUUUUUAGAGGAACGACCAGAGGUAGAUCCUGAUAACAACAGGUAAAUAGAAAAAGAUAUAUGUUUAUCCUAUUUACACUACUAUAUUUCUCCUUUUACUAAUAUUUUUGUAUUUUGAUACAAUUUAAUUUUUUUUAUUAGGAGAUUAAGAAAAACAGCAUAUAGGACAUAUAUAUCGUGCAUCUAUGGUUUCCUAGGGAAAGGUAACAGGAGGGUGAUCCCGUCAUGUGCAGUUAACAUUAUACGCCUGCUUUUUCCUGAUCCAAAUGGAACAUACGUUGGAUUUAUGUAUUCGGAGGACUAUAAUGCAUCAGAGAUGGCUUUUCAUUAAUUAUCUAAUUUAAAAUGUUUAUUUUUGUUGUUGUUUUUUUUUUUGGUUGGUUUUUAAUAUAUUAAAGUUUUGUAUGUAAUUUAACAUAAUAAAAAGAGUUCUAUUCAAAAUAACAA